CGGGGUAUAGCGCAGUUUGGUAGCGCGCUUGCAUGGGGUGUAAGAGGUCGUCGGUUCAACUCCGGCUACCCCGA
Molecule: transfer RNA, 74 nt
Filed under: Gammaproteobacteria bacterium
Lineage: Bacteria; Pseudomonadati; Pseudomonadota; Gammaproteobacteria
Also listed under: 1 other name
Description: tRNA-Pro
Rfam family: tRNA
About the family: Transfer RNA (tRNA) molecules are approximately 80 nucleotides in length. Their secondary structure includes four short double-helical elements and three loops (D, anti-codon, and T loops).
Source: RNAcentral